GAUGAACGCUGGCGGCGUGCCUAAUACAUGCAAGUCGAGCGAACAGACGAGGAGCUUGCUCCUCUGACGUUAGCGGCGGGCGGGUGAGUAACACGUGGAUAACAUACCUAUAUGACUGGGAUAACUUCGGGAAAACGCCGCUAUUACUGGAUCAUAUAUUGAACCGCAUGGUUCAAUAGUGAAAGACGGUUUUGGUGUCACUUAUAGAUGGAUCCGAGCUGCAUUACUUAGUUGGUAGGGUAACGGCUUACCAAGGCAACGAUGCUAAGCCGACGUGAGAGGGCGAGCGGCCACACAGAAUGUGAGACCCGCUCCUCACUCUUACGGAAGCAAGCAGCAGGCACUCUGGCGCGAUGGGCGAAAGCUUGAUGAAGCACCACCGCGUGAGGCACAAUGGACCUCGGAUCGUAAACCUCUGUUAUCAGGUAAGAAACAAAGUCUAACUAACCACGAACGUCUUGACGGUACCUAAGCAGAAAGACACGGCUAACUACGUG
RNAcentral lists this ribosomal RNA (497 nucleotides) under uncultured bacterium. RNAcentral describes it as "partial 16S ribosomal RNA". It matches the Rfam family "Bacterial small subunit ribosomal RNA", at positions 28 to 507 of the family's 1533-position model. The record is from RNAcentral.